Molecule: ribosomal RNA, 497 nt
Filed under: uncultured bacterium
Lineage: Bacteria
Description: partial 16S ribosomal RNA
Rfam family: Bacterial small subunit ribosomal RNA
Source: RNAcentral
GAUGAACGCUGGCGGCGUGCCUAAUACAUGCAAGUCGAGCGAACAGAUGAGGAGCUUGCUCCUCUGACGUUAGCGGCGGACGGGUGAGUAACACGUGGAUAACCUACCUAUAAGACUGGGAUAACUUCGGGAAACCGGAGCUAAUACCGGAUAAUAUAUUGAACCGCAUGGUUCAAUAGUGAAAGACGGUUUUGCUGUCACUUAUAGAUGGAUCCACGCCGCAUUAGCUAGUUGGUAAGGUAACGGCUUACCAAGGCAACGAUGCGUAGCCGACAUGAGAGAGAGAUCGGCCACACUGGAACUGAGACACGGUCCAGACUCCUACGGGAGGCAGCAGUAGGGAAUCUUCCGCAAUGGGCGAAAGCCUGACGGAGCAACGCCGCGUGAGUGAUGAAGGUCUUCGGAUCGUAAAACUCUGUUAUUAGGGAAGAACAAAUGUGUAAGUAACUAUGCACGUCUUGACGGUACCUAAUCAGAAAGCCACGGCUAACUACGUG